This 135-nucleotide ribosomal RNA is filed under the name Yersinia enterocolitica W22703. The record is from RNAcentral. Lineage: Bacteria; Pseudomonadati; Pseudomonadota; Gammaproteobacteria; Enterobacterales; Yersiniaceae.
AACAGAAUUUGCCUGGCGGCCAUAGCGCGGUGGACCCACCUGAAUCCAUGCCGAACUCAGAAGUGAAACGCCGUAGCGCCGAUGGUAGUGUGGGGUCUCCCCAUGCGAGAGUAGGACACUGCCAGGCAUCAAACA